GUGAAUCAUCGAAUUUUUGAACGCAAAUCGCACUCUCUUCGGAGAGUAUGCCUGUUUGAGGGUCAGCCUAAAAAAAAAAAAUCGACAUAGUCGCUGUUUCCCGCUGACAUUCUUGGUAAAUUUUUUUUUUUUUUUCUUUUGGGUUUUAAUUGUUUUAAAAUUUUCUUUACGAUUCCACGUCCGUUUCUAAUUUUUACUUCUUAUACCUUUAAG
Molecule: unclassified non-coding RNA, 213 nt
Filed under: Glomus sp.
Lineage: Eukaryota; Fungi; Glomeromycota; Glomeromycetes; Glomerales; Glomeraceae
Description: partial contains 5.8S ribosomal RNA and internal transcribed spacer 2
Rfam family: 5.8S ribosomal RNA (bases 1-65)
Source: RNAcentral